RNAcentral lists this unclassified non-coding RNA (180 nucleotides) under uncultured Xylaria. RNAcentral's name for it is "sequence contains ITS1". Lineage: Eukaryota; Fungi; Ascomycota; Sordariomycetes; Xylariales; Xylariaceae. The record is from RNAcentral.
CCGAGUUAUACAAAAACUCCCAAACCAUUGUGAACCUACCUUUUACGUUGCCUCGGCAGGCCCGCGCCUACCCUGGAGCUACCCUGUAGCUACCCUGGAGGUGUGCCAUAGGGCCUGCCGGUGGUCUAUCAAACUCUUAUUAUUACGAAACAGUCUGACAAUACCAAACAAAAUACGUUA